UACGUAGGGGCAAGCGUUGUCCGGAUUUAUUGGGCGUAAAGAGCGUGUAGGCGGCUUGGUAGGUCUCGCGUCAAAACCUGAGGCUCAACCUCAAGUUCGCGUGGGAAACCACCUAGCUAGAGUCCGGAAGAGGAGAACGGAAUUCCCGAGUGUAGCGGUGAAAUGCGCAGAUAUUGGGAAGAACACCAGUGGCGAAGGCGGAUUCUCUGGGACGGUACG
This 219-nucleotide ribosomal RNA is filed under the name uncultured bacterium. RNAcentral describes it as "partial 16S ribosomal RNA". It matches the Rfam family "Bacterial small subunit ribosomal RNA", at positions 524 to 741 of the family's 1533-position model. The record is from RNAcentral.